GGGGUUGGGGAUUUAGCUCAGUGGUAGAGCGCUUGCCUAGGAAGCGCAAGGCCCUGGGUUCGGUCCCCAGCUCCGAAAAAAAAA
This 84-nucleotide transfer RNA is filed under the name Rattus norvegicus (Norway rat). The stretch from base 7 to 75 matches the Rfam family "tRNA". From Rfam's summary of the family: Transfer RNA (tRNA) molecules are approximately 80 nucleotides in length. The record is from RNAcentral. Lineage: Eukaryota; Metazoa; Chordata; Mammalia; Rodentia; Muridae.